RNAcentral lists this ribosomal RNA (77 nucleotides) under Fusarium oxysporum. Its description in RNAcentral is "partial 28S ribosomal RNA". The record is from RNAcentral. Lineage: Eukaryota; Fungi; Ascomycota; Sordariomycetes; Hypocreales; Nectriaceae.
AAACGGUCCUGUAAGCAGUAAAGUAGCCUUGUUGUUACGAUCUGCUGAGGGUAAGCCGUCCUUCGCCUCGAUUUCCC